Long non-coding RNA from Triticum aestivum (bread wheat), 727 nucleotides. RefSeq lists it as uncharacterized. Lineage: Eukaryota; Viridiplantae; Streptophyta; Magnoliopsida; Poales; Poaceae. The transcript is spliced from 2 exons. The record is from RefSeq and is a predicted model, not a curated record.
UAAUCAUUUUCAUACAAACUGCUAUAGUUGCUUGCCCUUUUGGCAGCAUUUGCUCAGAAGCUUGACUGCCGAGACUAGACUAGACUAGCUUGAUUUUCUUGAUACAUCUAAAUAUUCCAAUGUGAUAUGUUAAAAAUACAGGGAGGAUAUUUGUUUGGCUUAUGAGGAGAUUUUGGUUAACCAACGUUGACGCUUUCACUCGCUCACCAUGUUCAUUUGGUCUGGAUUACUUCUCUAACAUUUUAAAAAUUGCUACUGUCAAGUUUCAGUUGGCGCGGGUGUACAGCAGAGGUAUAUAUGUGAUAAGGUGCUGUGAUCAUGAGAAAAAGUAUGCCGUACAGAGGGGAUCAAGCUGUAUAUUGCUAUGUGGAAUGCUUUGAUUCGAGGUGCUGUCGGGUUGGGAGCAUGAAACAUGCUCUGUAGUUCUUUGGUUCAAUGCAGGAGGAAGGGAUGUACAUAGACCCGAAGAUCUUUAUUAAGAUCAUCCACGGGUUGUGGAAGCAAGGGGAGUGAGAUUAAAUCAAGAAGUUUUUUGACAAAAUGAGGAUUCAAUGGCUCAAGGAGAGUAAGCCCCAAGCUAGAUCAUUAUUGAUUUCCUUUAGUAGGAUGUCACAUAAUUCAUUUAGAGUGGAGCAGGAAUAUUCAAAAAGGAAAUGUACACCAUAUAUAUUAGUAUAAUACAUCUGACACUUUCUCAUCUUUCACUAAUAGCACAUUGAUCAUACCA